UUGUGCUUGAUCUAACCAUGUGGUUCCAAGCUAUGAGUAAAACAUGGUUUCGUCAAGCACCAUG
This 64-nucleotide microRNA precursor is filed under the name Scyliorhinus torazame (cloudy catshark). RNAcentral describes it as "Sto-Mir-218-P4_pre stem-loop". It matches the Rfam family "mir-218 microRNA precursor family", at positions 11 to 73 of the family's 82-position model. Rfam says of the family: The extents of the hairpin precursors are not known. In this case the mature sequence in excised from the 5'arm of the hairpin. Lineage: Eukaryota; Metazoa; Chordata; Chondrichthyes; Carcharhiniformes; Scyliorhinidae. The record is from RNAcentral.